Capra hircus (goat) is the source of this 601-nucleotide long non-coding RNA. RefSeq lists it as uncharacterized. Lineage: Eukaryota; Metazoa; Chordata; Mammalia; Artiodactyla; Bovidae. The record is from RefSeq and is a predicted model, not a curated record. The transcript is spliced from 3 exons.
CUCCAGACAAGAAUACUGGGGUGGGCAACCAUUUCCUCCUCCAGUGGAUCUUCCCAACCCAGGGAUUAAAUCCAUGUCUCUGGAGUUUCCCGUGUUACAGAUUGCACUUAUUGCAUGUGAACCUCUGACGGGGGAACAGCGCCUGGGGACACACCCACCGGAGGCAGCAUUGACGUCUGGGUGACACCGGGGGAGACCACAGCUUCGUGCCUCUGUGCCAGGAAGCCCAGCUGCCUCUUUCUCUGCCUGCAGAAAUAUUGUUAAAGGGAAUGCAGACUGAGCUCCUGGAACACCGUCAGGUCAGAUGUGCCUGUGUACCCAGAAGCUACAGACAGCAUAAUGUGCUCCUACGGUCCCAACGCUACACCUACUAUGUGGGAGCAAUCACAGGGAAAGACAGAGACACUUGUUAAACAUUGAGUGGCUCAUACAGUGAGAUGAGACACUUGUGCUGUGGAAAGAUAGGUCUAAUGAUCUGGUUCUUUGUUUUCCCUUGAAAAAGAAAUUUCAAAAUAUAGAGCAUCUCACAAAGAAGUGUUUCCAAAUUGACUCAAAAACAAAAACAAAAAAAAAAAAAAGAGAGAGAGAAAGAGAAAGAAAU